CCUACGGGUUGCACCAGUGGGGAAUAUUGCACAAUGGGCGCAAGCCUGAUGCAGCCAUGCCGCGUGUAUGAAGAAGGCCCUAGGGUUGUAAAGUACUUUCAGUCGGGAGGAAGGCGUUGAUGCUAAUAUCAUCAACGAUUGACGUUACCGACAGAAGAAGCACCGGCUAACUCCGUGCCAGCAGCCGCGGUAAUACGGAGGGUGCAAGCGUUAAUCGGAAUUACUGGGCGUAAAGCGCACGCAGGCGGUUGAUUAAGUUAGAUGUGAAAUCCCCGGGCUUAACCUGGGAAUGGCAUCUAAGACUGGUCAGCUAGAGUCUUGUAGAGGGGGGUAGAAUUCCAUGUGUAGCGGUGAAAUGCGUAGAGAUGUGGAGGAAUACCGGUGGCGAAGGCGGCUUACUGGUCUGCAACUGACGCUGAGGCGCGAAAGCGUGGGGAGCAAACAGGAUUAGAUACCCUCGUAGUC
Molecule: ribosomal RNA, 465 nt
Filed under: uncultured bacterium
Lineage: Bacteria
Description: bacterial SSU rRNA
Rfam family: Bacterial small subunit ribosomal RNA
Source: RNAcentral